GACGAACGCUGGCGGCGUGCUUAACACAUGCAAGUCGAACGGAAAGGCCUGCUUUCCCUUGUGGAUUGCGGGUACUCGAGUGGCGAACGGGUGAGUAACACGUGAGUGAUCUGCCCCCAACUUGGGUAUAAGCCUGGGAAACUGGGUCUAAUUCCCGAUAGGACUGCAGGGUGGUGCCUGUGGUGGAAAACGAUUUUCUAGUGGUUGGGGAUGAGCUCGCGGCCUAUCAGCUUGUUGGUGGGGUAAUGGCCUACCAAGGCGGCGACGGGUAGCCGGCCUGAGAGGGUGGACGGCCACAUUGGGACUGAGAUACGGCCCAGACUCCUACGGGAGGCAGCAGUGGGGAAUAUUGCACAAUGGGCGGAAGCCUGAUGCAGCGACGCCGCGUGGGGGAUGACGGCCUUCGGGUUGUAAACUCCUUUCGACCGCGAGGAAGCCACCUGGUUGGAAGGGUGGUGACGGUAGUGGUAGAGGAAGCACCGGCCAACUACGUG
This 494-nucleotide ribosomal RNA is filed under the name uncultured bacterium. Its description in RNAcentral is "partial 16S ribosomal RNA". It matches the Rfam family "Bacterial small subunit ribosomal RNA", at positions 28 to 507 of the family's 1533-position model. The record is from RNAcentral.